GGAUGUGAGGGUGAUCUGGCUGUGACAUCUGUCCCUUCACUGACCUGGCAUGUCUGGCUGCUGGGUGGGUGUCUCCUUCCUCACUCACUGCUCCACAUCCGUCUCUCCUGAAGCUGCCCCCUGGUCUGAGGAUGGCCUUCCCUGAAUAGAGACAGUCUUUCAUCAAGGGUAUAUGAGUAGCUGUGCUCCUCUGCUAGAACCUCCAAGCAAGCUCUCACAGGCACUAAAUUUGACAUGUUUUGUUACACAGCAAGAAUUACAUGUACAUUGUGAUUUAACAAUUCUUUGCAAACAUACAUGUUUUUCUCU
This 309-nucleotide small nuclear RNA is filed under the name Erinaceus europaeus (western European hedgehog). RNAcentral describes it as "7SK RNA". It matches the Rfam family "7SK RNA". From Rfam's summary of the family: 7SK was discovered as an abundant small nuclear RNA in the mid-70s but a possible function has only recently been suggested. The record is from Rfam by way of RNAcentral. Lineage: Eukaryota; Metazoa; Chordata; Mammalia; Eulipotyphla; Erinaceidae.